This 919-nucleotide long non-coding RNA is filed under the name Setaria italica (foxtail millet). RNAcentral describes it as "long non-coding RNA (SITA_LNC003433)". Lineage: Eukaryota; Viridiplantae; Streptophyta; Magnoliopsida; Poales; Poaceae. The record is from RNAcentral.
GUAAAUCACAUGCAGCCAUCUCAAAUUUUCUUGGACAAUGGCGGUGAAAUUUUGUUGGAGUGUUCUCUCUAGCUAUGUUCAAAAUGCCACCUGGAUCUAUUAAGUAUUAAUUGAUUCCAGAGCAGUGCAUCAUCAUUGACUUCUGUAUGCCAAAGUUGUGUAAUGGAUUAAGUUUAAAAAAAAGGUGUGCAGUACGGGUGUCCUCUCUAAAAUUAAGAUGGUAAAGCAUGGCAUAGACCGCAACCAACAAGGUAUUGGAAUUACUUGAUCUAAAUGAUGGGAGAUACUAGACAUUUUGUGCCACUGGAGAUAUUACCUACAGUUUCAUAAUCAAUUUGCUAACAUCUAAGUUUGCAACACUUAACUGAUUAAAGGGUCUAAAAUUAAGAUGGUAAAGCAUGACAUAGACCACAACCAACAAGGUAUUGGAAUUACUUGAUCUAAGUGAUGGGAGAUACUCGACAUUUUGUGCCACUGGAGAUAUUACCUACAGUUUCAUAAUCAAUUUGCUAACAUCUAAGUUUGCAACACUUAACUGAUUAAAGGGCUAGUGUACAUACUAAAGUAUACUGUAUACAGCUAACAUUUGCUGACUUUGGAUUGUCCUUAGGUGUAGACCUUAAGGCCUAGCGCCCUAGCCAUGACUUUUUUUUGGGAUAUCAUUCAAUCUGACAUACUUAUUUGUAUGUGCAGUAUUUUUGAAAGCAACAAAUACACAGCUGAUAUUUACUUUUCAGAAAUGAAGUGUUGCCUAGGCAACCAGUAGGGGAAAAAUCAGGUCUUAAAUGGUAUGAGUUUGCCCUGUGUGCUCAUUUAAGAGUACUCAUUCCAGGGCCUGAAUAUCCUUCUAGGAUCUUGUGUUUUGCAGUUACAUUUGUAUUAAGGUGCAUGUAUCUAACAAUCUAUUUGAAUAAUUAUU